CCUACGGGCGGCAGCAGUGGGGAAAACUUUACAAUGCGGGAAACCGUGAUAAGGGAACUCCGAGUGCCCGUAAACGCGGGCUGUCCAUCUGCUUAAAAAACAGGUGAAGAAAGGGCCGGGCAAGACCGGUGCCAGCCGCCGCGGUAAUACCGGCGGCUCGAGUGGUGGCCACUAUUACUGGGCUUAAAGCGUCCGUAGCUUGGUUGUUAAGUCUCUUGGGAAAUCUGUCGGCUUAACCGACAGGCGUUUAAGGGAUACUGGCAAUCUAGGGACCGGGAGAGGUGAGAGGUACUCCAGGGGUAGGAGUGAAAUCCUGUAAUCCUUGGGGGACCACCUGUGGCGUAGGCGUCUCACCAGAACGGCUCCGACAGUGAGGGACGAAAGCUUGGGGAGCAAACCGGCUUAGAUACCCGGGUAGUC
This 420-nucleotide ribosomal RNA is filed under the name uncultured Phycisphaerae bacterium. RNAcentral's name for it is "bacterial SSU rRNA". It matches the Rfam family "Archaeal small subunit ribosomal RNA", at positions 322 to 746 of the family's 1478-position model. The record is from RNAcentral. Lineage: Bacteria; Pseudomonadati; Planctomycetota; Phycisphaerae.